RNAcentral lists this ribosomal RNA (430 nucleotides) under uncultured bacterium. RNAcentral's name for it is "bacterial SSU rRNA". It matches the Rfam family "Bacterial small subunit ribosomal RNA", at positions 29 to 507 of the family's 1533-position model. The record is from RNAcentral.
AACGAACGCUGGCGGCAGGCCUAACACAUGCAAGUCGAGCGCCCCGCAAGGGGAGCGGCGGACGGGUGAGUAACGCGUGGGAACGUGCCUCUUGCUACGGAAUAGCCUCGGGAAACUGGGAGUAAUACCGUAUGUGCCCUACGGGGGAAAGAUUUAUCGGCAAGAGAUCGGCCCGCGUUGGAUUAGGUAGUUGGUGGGGUAAUGGCCUACCAAGCCGACGAUCCAUAGCUGGUUUGAGAGGAUGAUCAGCCACACUGGGACUGAGACACGGCCCAGACUCCUACGGGAGGCAGCAGUGGGGAAUCUUAGACAAUGGGCGCAAGCCUGAUCUAGCCAUGCCGCGUGAGCGAUGAAGGCCUUAGGGUUGUAAAGCUCUUUCAGUGGGAAGAUAAUGACUGUACCCACAGAAGAAGCCCCGGCUAACUCCGUG